UGGGGAAUUUUCCGCAAUGGGCGAAAGCCUGACGGAGCAAUACCGCGUGAGGGAGGAAGGCUUUUGGGUUGUAAACCUCUUUUAUUCGGGAAGAAGAUCUGACGGUACCGAAUGAAUCAGCAUCGGCUAACUCCGUGCCAGCAGCCGCGGUAAUACGGAGGAUGCAAGCGUUAUCCGGAUUUAUUGGGCGUAAAGCGUCCGCAGGUGGUUGUACAAGUCUGCUGUCAAAGCGCGGAGCUUAACUCCGUAAAGGCGGUGGAAACUGUUUGACUAGAGUCUGGUAGGGGUCACGGGAAUUCCCAGUGUAGCGGUGAAAUGCGUAGAUAUUGGGAAGAACACCGGUGGCGAAAGCGCGUGACUGGACCGGAACUGACACUGAGGGACGAAAGCUAGGGGAGCGAAAG
RNAcentral lists this ribosomal RNA (404 nucleotides) under uncultured cyanobacterium. Its description in RNAcentral is "partial 16S ribosomal RNA". It matches the Rfam family "Bacterial small subunit ribosomal RNA", at positions 355 to 774 of the family's 1533-position model. The record is from RNAcentral. Lineage: Bacteria; Bacillati; Cyanobacteriota.